Molecule: long non-coding RNA, 4383 nt
Filed under: Homo sapiens (human)
Lineage: Eukaryota; Metazoa; Chordata; Mammalia; Primates; Hominidae
Description: HSALNT0273601
Source: RNAcentral
UUUUGCUCAGGUUCGAGGGCAUCUUUGAUUUUUCUCAUUCUUCCCAAGACCUUACAUGGUCUGGCCCCCGCAUUCCUCCUUUGCCCCAGCCUCCUACUUUCCCCCCUCCCUUAAGACCCAAGCUGCACUGGCCUCCUUGCUAUUUCUUGAACAUGUCAGAUGCUCCUGCCUUAACACCUUUGUGGUGGCUGUUCCACCUGCCUGAACCCCCUUUCCCAGACACCCCAACGACUAACUCCUUUACCUCUUGCAGGCUUUCUCAUAAAGGUCAUUCUCUUAGAAGGGCCAACCUUGACCAUUCCUAUUUAAAACUGCAAUCUGUCCUCUCACAGGCAAGGCCUAUGCCCUCCUUCCUCUCUCUGCACUCCUUUCUUUCCAGUGCACUCAUCACCUUUGACAUACUGUGACUUUUUUUAUCUUAUUGUGUUUAUUGCCUUAUUGUGUUAUAUGUAUUAUCUAUUAUAUUAUUAUCUUUUAUUUUUUGUUUAUUGCCUGCUCCUCCUGCUACAACAUAAGUGCUCCGUGGCAGGUGUCUUUGCUCAUUUUACUAACUUCUCUUAAGCACCUACGACUCAACCUGUCACAUAGCAGGUGUUCAACAAAUGUUUAUCAAGUGAAUAAAUGUAUUCUUUUCUAUGCUUCUUUAAAUAAAUACAGCUGACCCUUGAACAAUGUCGAGGUUAGGGGUGCUGACCCCACACACAGUCAAAAAUCCACAUAUGACUUUUGACUCUUUCAAACUUAACUACUAAUAGCCUACAAGUAGUCUUACCAAUAACAUGAACAAUCAAUUGAUAUGUAUUUUGUAUGUCAUCUAUAUUAUACACUGUAUUCUUACAAUAAAGUAAGCUAGAGGACAGCAAGUAUUAUUAAGGAAAUCAUAAGGAAGAGAAAACAUACUUACUAUUCAGUAAGUGGGAAUGGAUCAUCAUAAAGGUCUUCAUCCUUGUCAUCUUCAUGUUGAGUGGGCUGAGGAAGAGGAGGAGGAAAAGGAGUUGGUCUUGCUGUCUCAAGAGUGGCAGAGGUGAAAAAAAUCUGCCUAGAAGUGGACCCACAGAGUUCAAACCUGUGUUGUUCAAGGGUCCACCGUAUAACCAUGAUAUUAGCAUUGUGAACAUUCUCUCUUCGUCUCCUCCUUCCACCUACCCAACUCUCCACUCAGGGGAGAUUUAUAAGCAAGAUUUUGAACACUGAAAAUCAAAUUAAGUGGUCUGGAAAAGCUGCAAUGGCAAACAGGGGAAAACGAUUUGGAAAGCAGCCCUUAACCCUACAUUUUCCUAUCCUGUGAAAGCUGUGAAGAAUUGUGCCUACACGAGGCCAAUGGCCCCAGCUCUAUCCUCUAAUCACCUUCUUCUUCUAUUUCCCAAAUGUAACACUUACCCAGCCAACAAGUAAGGAAAUAGAUUAGAAAGCUUUUGAGUGACUCUUUUAGUGAACCUGGACCCCAAUCAAUCAGAAAAGUUACGUGGGAUUAUGCCAUUGGCAUUAGUUUUUCAUGUAUGGUAAAUACAUGGGUUCGUCUCAUUUGAAAGGAAUAGGCACAUUCGUGUCAUCUUAAGAACUGGGGUUUUAUGAUUUAUUUAAGGAGCCAUCUAGUAAUAAGGUAUACAGGGGUAGGACAGAACCUAAUGUAUUACAGGCUCCAUAGAGGAUAGACUUGGGAGGUUGUUCAGGACUGAAGCUGGCUCUGGGCUCCUUGUUGGCUUGUUGCCCCAUUAACAUCAGGAAUUCUUGGAUCUUCACUAUGGCACUCCCAUUGGUAUGGAUCUCCUACUGUCUAUUGAUUUCUGCUUCUCUCUAGGCAUUUUCUUUUUUCUCUUCUUGUACCAUCUGACUGACUCCAUCCAUGUCUCCAGGAGGAAGAAUGUGACCAUACUUGCUAAUUACCAUGGUCCACGCUUAGGGCUCUUACCCCAUGGCCUCUUGUAGGUCAUCAGUCAACCCACAAAGUGGCUGCCUGUGGUUUAGGUAGGACCAUUAAUCAAGGGGAACACAGCAGGCUUGUGUUUCACCAUAAUCAUAGCCAACCCCUCUUUGAGACUAUUCCCCACAGGACCUCUGGGAUCGUGUCAAGCUCAAUACAUUGAUCCAGGUACCCAGAACGCCAGUCACUGUGUCUUUGUCCCCACUCAGAACACAUUACCCCUGAUCUUUUCUUACCAGCAUUCUAACCCUCUAGCCUUCAUCGUGGGGAAGCGUUGACAGCUUAAUACGAAACAGUCUCACCACAAAACAACCUGCUGGUUUCUGGAAACUCCCCAGCUCCCAGACUAAGGCAUUCAGGACAAUCCAAACUCCCAUUUCCACAAAUUCCAGAAUGGAUUUUCAUAAGCAUCAGGAACACUGAAAGGGCCUGUAGGCUCCACAGGGCACCUACAUUUCCUGGGGCUUCCCUCAGAAAGAAGGUGGAGGGUAAAUGCGGUGGCCGCGUAUAAGGAAAGGAAAAUGAAGGUUUUCAAGCCUGCAUGAAGCCUAGAAAGUGCCACUGUGUGUAGCCACACCCAUAAAUAUUUUUGCUUUGGUAAAAUUACAGGCAGAGGGCCCUGCCAAUUCAGAAAACAAUCUAUUGGCUGCCAUUGCCUUGUGUUCCACACUCUGUGCGGUACCCACUGCAUAGAGAAAGUCACCUGGAAUUAAUAGGAUUCCUUGAUAUUUGUUUUCAACAAAUACUUCCUGAAUGCCUACUAUGCACCAAACUCCACAGUCAGGAACAGGCCUAAUCCUGUUGGUGUUUUUAUUUCAGUCUCAGCUCUGUCAACCUGCUUGAAGCUGCAAGGAAUUUGGUGCUCGGGGACAGGCCUCCACAAGUCCAAUGAAGUUGGCUGCGUUUCUGAUUCACUUCUCUAUCCAAGAAUAAAAAUAGGGGCUGAUCUACUCAAACGAUCCUGGGAGAUUAAAAGAUUUUGAAGCCAAAACAAAACCCGAGAUAAGCUGCCUACGUGUGCGUGAGGAGGCAAGUCAGUUCCAGGAGCCAGCAGUGUCCGGGAAGGGCUCCCCGCAGCCUGACAGGACUUGUCCCAGCGACCUCUUCCCUCCCGAGGUCCUGUUACCUGUGUGCGUGUCAGGACAAAGCCCUCUGUGCCACUGGCCUCCCUCUCACGUGGUGCUGUCCUGCCCUUUUUUGCUCGGGCUCACAGAGCACGGCCCAGAAAGGACUAAUGGUGCCGGUGCUGUAGCAGGACCUCCUCUAUUUGGGACAGCCUAGCACGUGAAAUCCUCUAGGACCCCCAGCCUGCAGUGGGUGGUCAGUGUGUGCAGUGAAAGAGCAGGGAUUCCAAUGUUGAGCUGAGGUGAAUGUAAAGGGGGAAGACCUCUCAGAAGAUGCAGGUAGGAACGGGAGCAAGAGUCCCCCUAAGCAAUCUUUCCUUCUUUGCCUUCCACCAGAUGUUUGCUAAACAUCUGGAAGCAAACACCUGGACCACCUGCAACUUGGCAGAGGGAAGGAGCCUGGCCAAGAGAAUAAAAAAGGACCAGCCACACUUCACUGUAAGCCAUAUCCCCAGGCUUCUCAUUUCCCCUACCUGGGGAGGCAAUGACAAUAAUAGACUUCAGAAGUUAAUUGACUUAAUGAGUGGAACUCCUUCAAUCCAUUGAAGGCCUCAGUAGAACAACAACAACAAAAAGUGGAGGGAGAGAAAAUUCUUUCUCUCUGCCUAAUUGCUUGAGCUGGGUUAUUGUGUUCUCCUGCCCUCAGACUGCGACUUACACCUUUGGUUCUCCAGUUUCAUUUCUGUGGACUUGGACUAGAACUCAUACCAUCAGUUCUGGUUCUCAGGCCUUCAGAAUCAAACUGGAACGGCACCAGCAGCCUUCCUGGGUCUCCAGCUUGCAGACAGCAGACUGUGGAACUUCUCAGCCUCCAUAAUCACAUGAGUCAAUUCCUUAUAAUAAACCUCUCUCUCUCUCGACAGGUAGAUAGAAAGAUAGAUAGAUAGAUAGAUAGACAGAUAGAUAGAUAGAUCCCUUUACAGCAGGUGGCAGCUAAGGAGGAUCUUCCUAGUGGAGGCUGCAUGAACAUAAAGGGCAGCCCUAGUGCUGGAUCCUGGCCCUUGCAGGUGAGACGGCUCUGAUGAGCAGAGGAACACCAGGGUUCUCCGUCUCCAAAUUAGAUAAAAUGACCUGGACAUACAUGGAGUGGUUUUAAGAAGCAGAGAGUUUAACAGGCAAGAAAGAAGGGAGAAGAAAGAAGGAAGAAGCUCCCCUGUUACAGACACAGAGGAAUGGGGAGCUCCAAAGCCAAGAGAGAAGACCCCCUGUGCCACGGAAAAGUGGCUGCUUAUAUAAAUAGGCUGGAGGAGGUGAUGUCUGAUUUGCAUAGGGCUCAGGGGAUUGGUUCCACCAGGCAUGUCACUCACGUAGCCUGCAGAAAAAACUGGCCCUCCC